This 65-nucleotide transfer RNA is filed under the name Polyphaga plancyi. RNAcentral describes it as "tRNA-Phe". It matches the Rfam family "tRNA". From Rfam's summary of the family: Transfer RNA (tRNA) molecules are approximately 80 nucleotides in length. Their secondary structure includes four short double-helical elements and three loops (D, anti-codon, and T loops). Lineage: Eukaryota; Metazoa; Arthropoda; Insecta; Blattodea; Corydiidae. The record is from RNAcentral.
ACUUAAAUGGUUUAUAGUUAGAACAUGACAUUGAAGAUGUCAAGGAAAUGAUUUAUUUUUAAGUA